This 435-nucleotide ribosomal RNA is filed under the name uncultured Glomus. RNAcentral describes it as "SSU rRNA". It matches the Rfam family "Eukaryotic small subunit ribosomal RNA", at positions 569 to 1006 of the family's 1831-position model. The record is from RNAcentral. Lineage: Eukaryota; Fungi; Glomeromycota; Glomeromycetes; Glomerales; Glomeraceae.
AGCAGCCGCGGUAAUUCCAGCUCCAAUAGCGUAUAUUAAAGUUGUUGCAGUUAAAAAGCUCGUAGUUGAAUUUCGGGAUCAGUAAGCCGGUCGUACCUUCGGUAUGUACUGGUGUCACUGAUUCCUCCCUUCUGAUGAACCGUUAUACCAUUUAGUUGGUGUGGCGGGGAAUCAGGACUGUUACUUUGAAAAAAUUAGAGUGUUUAAAGCAAGCUCGCGCUUGAAUACAUUAGCAUGGAAUAAUAAAAUAGGACGUUUGAUCUCCUAUUUUGUUGGUUUCUAGGAUCGACGUAAUGAUUAAUAGGGAUAGUUGGGGGCAUUAGUAUUCAAUUGUCAGAGGUGAAAUUCUUGAAUUUAUUGAAGACUAACUACUGCGAAAGCAUUUGCCAAGGAUGUUUUCAUUAAUCAAGAACGAAAGUUAGGGGAUCGAAGACG